This 415-nucleotide unclassified non-coding RNA is filed under the name uncultured Inocybe. RNAcentral describes it as "sequence contains ITS2". The stretch from base 1 to 154 matches the Rfam family "5.8S ribosomal RNA". Lineage: Eukaryota; Fungi; Basidiomycota; Agaricomycetes; Agaricales; Cortinariaceae. The record is from RNAcentral.
AACUUUUGGCAAUGGAUCACUUGGUUCUCGCAUCGAUGAAGAACGCAGCGAAAUGCGAUGAGUAAUGUGAAUUGCAGAAUUCAGUGAAUCAUCGAAUCUUUGAACGCAACUUGCGCUCCUUGGUACUCUGAGGAGCAUGCCUGUUUGAGUGUCAUUUGAAGUUCUCAACCACAUCCAGAAAUGUGAUGUGGCUUGGACUUGGGGGUCUCUUUUUUGCAGGCUUUCCGAAAGGAAGGUCGGCUCCCCUGAAACGUAUUAGUGGCAUCUGAGCUGCUGCUAUUAGGUGUGAUAAUUAUCUAUGCCUUUGGUAUGCUGCAUGAACAGGUUGCGCUGCUUAUAACAUAAAUUUGACGAAUCUGACCUCAAAUCAGGUAGGACUACCCGCUGAACUUAAGCAUAUCAAUAAGCGGAGGCU